Molecule: microRNA precursor, 144 nt
Filed under: Pelobates cultripes (western spadefoot toad)
Lineage: Eukaryota; Metazoa; Chordata; Amphibia; Anura; Pelobatidae
Source: RNAcentral
GAUUAGUGACAGAGUGAGGGAGGGGGUGACUAGUGACAGUGAGGGAGCGGGUGACAGUGACAGAGUUAGGGAGGGAGUGACUAGUGACAUUCACUCCCUCCCUCUGUCACUAGUCACUCCCUCCCUCUGUCACCAGUCAUCCCC